This 450-nucleotide ribosomal RNA is filed under the name uncultured bacterium. RNAcentral's name for it is "partial 16S ribosomal RNA". It matches the Rfam family "Bacterial small subunit ribosomal RNA", at positions 354 to 796 of the family's 1533-position model. The record is from RNAcentral.
GUGGGGAAUAUUGGACAAUGGGCGAAAGCCUGAUCCAGCCAUGCCGCGUGUGUGAAGAAGGUCUUCGGAUUGUAAAGCACUUUAAGUUGGGAGGAAGGGCAGUAAGUUAAUACCUUGCUGUUUUGACGUUACCGACAGAAUAAGCACCGGCUAACUUCGUGCCAGCAGCCGCGGUAAUACGAAGGGUGCAAGCGUUAAUCGGAAUUACUGGGCGUAAAGCGCGCGUAGGUGGUUUUGUAAGUUGGAGGUGAAAUCCCCGGGCUCAACCUGGGAACUGCAUCCAAAACUGCAUGACUAGAGUACGGUAGAGGGUAGUGGAAUUUCCUGUGUAGCGGUGAAAUGCGUAGAUAUAGGAAGGAACACCAGUGGCGAAGGCGACUACCUGGACUGAUACUGACACUGAGGUGCGAAAGCGUGGGGAGCAAACAGGGUUAGAUACCCUUGUAGUCC